UAGGGAAUCUUCGGCAAUGGGGGGAACCCUGACCGAGCAACGCCGCGUGAGUGAAGAAGGUUUUCGGAUCGUAAAGCUCUGUUGUUAAGGAAGAACGAGUGUGAGAAUGGAAAGUUCAUACUGUGACGGUACUUAACCAGAAAGGGACGGCUAACUACGUGCCAGCAGCCGCGGUAAUACGUAGGUCCCGAGCGUUGUCCGGAUUUAUUGGGCGUAAAGCGAGCGCAGGCGGUUAGAUAAGUCUGAAGUUAAAGGCAGUGGCUCAACCAUUGUAGGCUUUGGAAACUGUUUAACUUGAGUGCAGAAGGGGAGAGUGGAAUUCCAUGUGUAGCGGUGAAAUGCGUAGAUAUAUGGAGGAACACCGGUGGCGAAAGCGGCUCUCUGGUCUGUAACUGACGCUGAGGCUCGAAAGCGUGGGGAGCGAACAGG
Molecule: ribosomal RNA, 429 nt
Filed under: Bacteroidota bacterium
Lineage: Bacteria; Pseudomonadati; Bacteroidota
Also listed under: 2 other names
Description: Bacteroidetes bacterium partial 16S ribosomal RNA
Rfam family: Bacterial small subunit ribosomal RNA
Source: RNAcentral